Molecule: long non-coding RNA, 1482 nt
Filed under: Oncorhynchus mykiss (rainbow trout)
Lineage: Eukaryota; Metazoa; Chordata; Actinopteri; Salmoniformes; Salmonidae
Description: lncRNA (ENSOMYG00000066554.1)
Source: RNAcentral
AUGCGCCGAAUACAACAGGUGUACGUAGGUAGACCUUACAGUGAAAUACUGAAUAAAACAGGUGUAGGUAGACCUUACAGUGAAAUGCUGAAUACAACAGGUGUAGGUAGACCUUACAGUGAAAUGCUGAAUACAACAGGUGUAGGUAGACCUUACAGUGAAAUGCUGAAUACAACAGGUGUAGGUAGACCUUACAGUGAAAUGCUGAAUACAACAGGUGUAGGUAGACCUUACAGUGAAAUGAUGAAUACAACAGGUGUAGGUAGACCUUACAGUGAAAUGCUGAAUACAACAGGUGUAGGUAGACCUUACAGUGAAAUGCUGAAUACAACAGGUGUAGGUAGACCUUACAGUGAAAUGAUGAAUACAACAGGUGUAGGUAGACCUAACAGUGAAAUGCUGAAUACAACAGGUGUAGGUAGACCUUACAGUGAAAUGCCGAAUACAACAGGUGUAGGUAGACCUUACAGUGAAAUGCUGAAUACAACAGGUGUAGGUAGACCUUACAGUGAAAUGCUGAAUACAACAGGUGUAGGUAGACCUUACAGUGAAAUGCUGAAUACAACAGGUGUAGGUAGACCUUACAGUGAAAUGCUGAAUACAACAGGUGUAGGUAGACCUUACAGUGAAAUGCUGAAUACAACAGGUGUAGGUAGACCUUACAGUGAAAUGCUGAAUACAGCAGGUGUAGGUAGACCUUACAGUGAAAUGAUGAAUACAACAGGUGUAGGUAGACCUUACAGUGAAAUGCUGAAUACAACAGGUGUAGGUAGACCUUGCAGUGAAAUGCUGAAUACAACAGGUGUAGGUAGACCAACAGGGGAAAUGCUGAAUACAACAGGUGUAGGUAGACCUUACAGUGAAAUGCUGAAUACAACAGGUGUAGGUAGACCUUACAGUGAAAUGCUGAAUACAACAGGUGUAGGUAGACCUUACAGUGAAAUGCUGAAUACAACAGGUGUAGGUAGACCUUACAGUGAAAUGCUGAAUACAACAGGUGUAGGUAGACCUUACAGUGAAAUGCUGAAUACAACAGGUGUAGGUAGACCUUACAGUGAAAUGCUGAAUACAACAGGUGUAGGUAGACCUUACAGUGAAAUGCUGAAUACAACAGGUGUAGGUAGACCUUACAGUGAAAUGCUGAAUACAACAGGUGUAGGUAGACCUUACAGUGAAAUGCUGAAUACAACAGGUGUAGGUAGACCUUACAGUGAAAUGCUGAAUACAACAGGUGUAGGUAGACCUUACAGUGAAAUGCUGAAUACAACAGGUGUAGGUAGACCUUACAGUGAAAUGCUGAAUACAACAGGUGUAGGUAGACCUUACAGUGAAAUGCUGAAUACAACAGGUGUAGGUAGACCUUACAGUGAAAUGCUGAAUACAACAGGUGUAGGUAGACCUUGCAGUGAAAUGCUUGCUGACAAUCCCCUAAACCAACAAUGCAGUUUUAAGAAAAAGAGUGAUAAGUAUUUACUCAAAUAA